UACGGAGGGUCCAAGCGUUGUCCGGAAUCACUGGGUGUAAAGGGUGCGUAGGCGGGCUAGUAAGUCAGGGGUGAAAGCCCGCGGCUCAACCGCGGAACUGCCCUUGAUACUGCAAGUCUUGAGUCCUGGAGGGGCUGGCGGAAUUCGUGGUGUAGCGGUGAAAUGCGUAGAUAUUAGGAAGAACACCAGUGGCGAAGGCGGCUCACUGGCCCGGUACUGACGCUGAGGCGCGAAAGCGUGGGGAGCAAACAGG
RNAcentral lists this ribosomal RNA (253 nucleotides) under uncultured bacterium. RNAcentral's name for it is "partial 16S ribosomal RNA". It matches the Rfam family "Bacterial small subunit ribosomal RNA", at positions 524 to 776 of the family's 1533-position model. The record is from RNAcentral.